GAUGAAGAACGCAGUGAAAUGCGAUAAGUAAUGUGAAUUGCAGAAUUCAGUGAAUCAUCGAAUCUUUGAACGCACAUUGCGCCCCUUGGUAUUCCGGGGGGCAUGCCUGUUCGAGCGUCAUUACAACCCUCAAGCUCUGCUUGGUCUUGGGCGUCACCGGUCCCCGGUGUGCCUUAAAAUCAGUGGCGGCGCCAUCUGGCUCUAAGCGUAGUACAUACUCUCGCUACAGACGUCCGGUGGAUGCUGGCCAGCAACCCCCAAUUUAUCAAGGUUGACCUCGGAUCAGGUAGGGAUACCCGCUGAACUUAAGCAUAUCAAUAAGCGGAGGA
RNAcentral lists this unclassified non-coding RNA (329 nucleotides) under soil metagenome. RNAcentral describes it as "partial contains 5.8S ribosomal RNA, internal transcribed spacer 2, and large subunit ribosomal RNA". The stretch from base 1 to 120 matches the Rfam family "5.8S ribosomal RNA", at positions 35 to 154 of the family's 154-position model. The record is from RNAcentral.